AUGUCGUCAGAUGCAGGAACAGCUGGGACUUCCAAUUCCGUGGCACCAGCAGCCGCGCAAUCCGGCGGAGGAAACAACUCGAGCCAACAUGUGGUGAUCUCCGAGGCACGUCAGCCAUUCCGUGCUGUGAACGAGGACCUGUUCACACCCUUGAGCGUGUCGAUCGGACCCUACCAUCGUGCUAGUUGCUCAGAUAGAUGGAAGCAAGAGAAGAAGCGCGUGGCCGAGGAGACCGUGAAGUAUCUCCAGGAUUCGCGUGGCCAGGAAGCAGCGCAUCAGCUCGAGGAGAAGGUUGGGCAGCUGGUGGAGGAUGUGAGGGGGUGUUACGGCGGUUUGCCCGACAUGAAAUCCGAGGAGUUGGUCAGCAUGCUGCUGCAUGAUGGGUGCUACGUGCUCAAGUUCUUCGUACAAUACCCUGGACAUCCGGAUGUCAGUCCGCCCAGAGGCGAGGACAACACGGUGAUGCGCGACAUCAUGUACCUCCUUGAGAACCAGUUGCCUAUGAUCGUCCUUAAACGGAUCCAUCAGUGCCUGGUGCCUGAGAGAUCCGUCGUCAACGACGUAGAAGACCGUGUUCUGGGACUGCUGAGUGCACAGCUCUACAUCAGAGGAGUAAAGAAGCGGCGGCAGGCGGUGCCUUCUCACCUCCUGGAACUGGUGCACACCUACUUCCAGCCACGAUUGGACCACUCUUCCAUUUCCGUAGAUUCUGCUGAACAAUCGGAAUCUCACCAGCAGAGAAGUGCAACUAGAAACAAUGUUCAGAAUGACGCUGAAGUCACGGGUAAUACGCGCCGUUGCAUGGGGCGGUGGCGCCGGGCGACAGAGUACAGCAGGUACGGCGACGUGCAGCUCAAGCGUCAGGAGUUCGCGGCCGGUGUGGUGGAAUCCAUUCUUGACGUGAGUCUUGAAGGAAGGACGCUGUUGAUCCCACGCCUGCGGAUUGUUAGCAGCACUUGGACGAUCCUACGCAAUCUGAUGGCGCUAGAGGAGCAGACAGGCGGAGACGGGAGCCCCGUCACAGCCUACUGCCUGUUCAUGUCGCAGCUGGCGUCUAAGGUGGAGGACAUUGAGCUCCUGAAGCGCAAAGAGAUCGUCGAUCACUAUUGGGGUAACGACGAGGAGGUCGCACAAGGCUUCGCCGACCUCUGCAAGAAGGUGGUCUUGGACGUCGACGACGUCGACAGUAACUACCUAGGCCACAUAUGGCACCGGCUGCAUGAGCGCUGCGAGAGCCUGGGGCACAACUGCUUGGGAUCAUUCCGCCAAAGGCACUGCGGCGACUCCAUGCGCAUCCUUGCAUUCGUCACCGCUGGCUUACUGUUUGCUUUUCAGCUGAUUCAGGUCAUCCUUACCGGUUUCUCCUUACGACAACAAGGCAAGUAA
This 1386-nucleotide ribosomal RNA is filed under the name Triticum aestivum (bread wheat). RNAcentral's name for it is "partial small subunit ribosomal RNA". Lineage: Eukaryota; Viridiplantae; Streptophyta; Magnoliopsida; Poales; Poaceae. The record is from RNAcentral.